AGCGAACGCUGGCGGCAGGCUUAACACAUGCAAGUCGAGCGGGCAUCUUCGGAUGUCAGCGGCAGACGGGUGAGUAACACGUGGGAACGUACCCUUCGGUUCGGAACAACUCUGGGAAACUGGAGCUAAUACCGGAUACGCCCUUAUGGGGAAAGGUUUACUGCCGAAGGAUCGGCCCGCGUCUGAUUAGCUAGUUGGUGGUGUAACGGCCUACCAAGGCGACGAUCAGUAGCUGGUCUGAGAGGAUGAUCAGCCACACUGGGACUGAGACACGGCCCAGACUCCUACGGGAGGCAGCAGUGGGGAAUAUUGGACAAUGGGCGCAAGCCUGAUCCAGCCAUGCCGCGUGAGUGAUGAAGGCCUUAGGGUUGUAAAGCUCUUUUGUCCGGGACGAUAAUGACGGUACCGGAAGAAUAAGCCCCGGCUAACUUCGUG
RNAcentral lists this ribosomal RNA (435 nucleotides) under uncultured bacterium. RNAcentral describes it as "partial 16S ribosomal RNA". It matches the Rfam family "Bacterial small subunit ribosomal RNA", at positions 29 to 507 of the family's 1533-position model. The record is from RNAcentral.